UUGGAGGGCAAGUCUGGUGCCAGCAGCCGCGGUAAUUCCAGCUCCAAUAGCGUAUAUUAAAGUUGUUGCAGUUAAAAAGCUCGUAGUUGAAACUUGGGUCUGGCUGGCAGGUCCGCCUCACCGCGUGUACUUGUCCGGCCGGGCCUUUCCUUCUGGAGAACCUCAUGCCCUUCACUGGGCGUGCUGGGGAACCAGGACUUUUACUUUGAAACAAUUAGAGUGUUCAAAGCAGGCCUUUGCUCGAAUACGUUAGCAUGGAAUAAUAGAAUAGGACGUGCGGUCCUAUUUUGUUGGUUUUUA
Molecule: ribosomal RNA, 300 nt
Filed under: fungal sp.
Lineage: Eukaryota; Fungi
Description: SSU rRNA
Rfam family: Eukaryotic small subunit ribosomal RNA
Source: RNAcentral